This 253-nucleotide ribosomal RNA is filed under the name uncultured bacterium. RNAcentral describes it as "partial 16S ribosomal RNA". It matches the Rfam family "Bacterial small subunit ribosomal RNA", at positions 524 to 776 of the family's 1533-position model. The record is from RNAcentral.
GACGAAGGUGGCAAGCGUUGUUCGGAAUCACUGGGCUUAAAGAGCACGUAGGCGGCUUACCAAGUGCUUUGUGAAAUCCCUCGGCUCAACCGAGGAAUUGCUUGGCAAACUGGUAGGCUUGAGGCAGGUAAGGGCGCGCGGAACUCUUGGUGGAGCGGUGAAAUGCGUAGAUAUCAAGAGGAACGCCGGCGGUGAAGACGGCGCGCUAGGCCUGUCCUGACGCUGAGGUGCGAAAGCCAGGGGAGCAAACGGG